AAAAUUAAAAAAAAUCACUUGUGCCCGCAAACAUUUAACACUUUAACCAAAUAUUACACUUUUUUACCUCCAACACUUAAUAAAAAUCACAAAACCCACUUCGACCUAAUUACAAACCAUUCUUGCUUCUCUCCCGGCUUGACCCGUCGUCUCCAAUGGCUCCGCCGCUCCGGUGAAGAAGAAGAACAAGAAGCCUCUAGAUAAGGCAAAAAAGUUGGCGAAGAAAUCGAAGAGGAAACCCAGGAGAAUCAACGAAAUUCCUUUGGAUCCGGAGGCUAUCGACUGGUGGGAUACUUUCUGGCUCCGAAACUCUUCUCUCUCAGCGUCGGAAGCCAAAGCAGCGGCAAAUCCAGCGUUCUCGUAGCACUCGUCGGCUGUGAUUUUCUCCCUCGUGAGAAUGAAGGCGAGAAACCCAGAUUCUGAUAGAUCUAGUAAUGGUGAAGAUGAGACAAUUAAGAACGGAGAAGAUGAUUGGGUGACAAAGUUUUAGAGAUUGUAAAGAGGUUUUUGUGAUUUGAUCUGCUAUGAAUUGAAUUAAAGGAGUUUCGAUUUGACAGAACAAAUGGAGUUGCGACGGUCAUAUGCGGAAGAUGCCGAAGAAGAAGGAGAAGCUGAGAGGCGGGUAAGCAGAUCUUCGUGAUGGUCUUUUAUAUUCUCUGAAACUAGGAUUCAUAGGACUAGAGUAGUGGAUUGUGAAAGUAGAACUCAAGAAAUAAAUCAAGUAACAUAGAAGACUUGAGAUUACCAUCGUGAUGUUCAUGUUUGGAUUUUUGUGGAGACUACUCAACAACUACUUCUCCAACUCUGAUCUGAUGAUAAAGAUUCAUGGCCUGGACAAUGGGACAUCUCUAGUGCUGGCCAUAUAUCAGAUGGUGAUCCAUCGCUUUUAUCCGCACAGCGGGAGCUCCAGGAAGAGCUUGGCGUCAAACUCCCAAAUGAUGCAUUGAAAAGAUAUUCGUUUUUCUACAGGAAUGGUUUGUUUCUUGGCCUAAGUAAAAUCUCCCUUCUUAUCAUCAACGUUUAUUUUUACUUAAAUAAUAAUUCAAGAAUCCAUUUCAUCUUUGUUCUGUUUUUAAACAACAUGGGUGUUAACGUUGCCUGUGGGAAUGAAAGACGAGACAAAAGGAAGCAUGGUUCUUCUCAUAAGAAUGUGUGUCACAUUGUAUUUUUUCUCUGGUAAGUAUAGAUCAAUCGAAUCCCAUUUGCAAAGAUGGAAAACAGGUUAAUGCUGCAAGGUAUGCUUAUCUCAUACGAGAGCAGCGCAAGUGUUAGAUGCUUCUCCUUUCAUAUAAUUUCCAAGCUUAUCUUCAACUCCUCCAACAAUCUCAGUCUUCUUCUCCAACUCAGAGGUAUCCACUUCCAUGGACUCUUUCUUGUCCGUCACAACUUCUCAUCCUCUUUGCUCAGAUUCAAGAAUUCAACAUUGAGAAUUUUGAGGUCGUUGAAGGAGAGAAUAAAAAGACUAGACAAGAGUAAGAGAAAAAGAAGAACCAAAUGGAUGUCAAAAGGAAGAUGUGAGCAAGGAAAAGAAAAAGAAAAAGAAGGAAAAUGUGAGCUCAUUCUACCGUCCUUGUUAGAUAAUGAUUCUGGUUUUGUAUGACUUAGUUUGAAACUUGUAAUGUAUGUUGUGGAUGAUUUAUGAAAUAAAAUAAUUCUAUGAAAAUUGGAUAUUUUGAAAA
Molecule: long non-coding RNA, 1679 nt
Organism: Arabidopsis lyrata subsp. lyrata
Lineage: Eukaryota; Viridiplantae; Streptophyta; Magnoliopsida; Brassicales; Brassicaceae
Exons: 6
Source: RefSeq, a predicted model, not a curated record